AAUUGGCAGUUGAAGAAAUGAACUUUGUGAGCCAAUCACUUCCCCGUACUUUUCCGCCGACAGUUUUGAAGAGUCCGACGGAUUUCUGGUUCCUACCUUUGCCUACCUGGGGAGUUGCUAAUAAAGUUGUCACUGUGAUCAGCAAUGGGGGAUAUGGGGAAAUAAGGAAAUGAUCCUCCUGGAAAUGAUUCCCUGGAUAAUGAUGGGACAUACACACUGACUGAGAAAGAAAUGGAAACUGGCUGGUGAGCCAACAAAGCCUUUCGAGGAUUCUGUUUUGAUGGAGAGGAAUACAAAUGAGCUGAAGCUACCUCAGAGAACACAGAGAAGAAGAGAAGGGGAGAAGGUGAAGAAGGAUGGCCGAUCUUGGGAAGAGGCUGAAGAAGAAGAUAGGAUCCAAGAUGGCCUCUCCCUCAGCGUCUCUCUCUCAGUGGCUCAUGUAAUUGAGCACCCUGAGGACGGCCUCAUUUUCACCUCUCUGGGUACCCUUCUCCCUCGGGACCAGCUUUCUUUGUUUCUCUGUGUCUUUUAAGACCUCAGGGUUUAUCCCACUCUCAGUUCAAGGUACCCACAGAGAUUAAAUUACAUUGCUGGAUCUCAAAUGUGAGCCCUCAGGCGACUCAAUUAACUGUGGCCGGUGGCACGUAUAUCCCAAACGUAUCUGCAGGGGAGAACUUCCUUGCAGUGGGAAAGAUCCCUGAAUGAAUGCUCAUCCUCACGUGGACGUUACAGAGUUGGCCCUCUCACCUAUGUUCUUGGCUUAAAGUAUUCCAUCCGGGUACCUUCAAGCAGCCAAAACUCUCUACCUUUUUCCAUUCCUCUGGAAAGAAAAACAAAACCAGCAAGAAAA
This is a long non-coding RNA of Panthera uncia (snow leopard), 850 nucleotides long. RefSeq lists it as uncharacterized. The record is from RefSeq and is a predicted model, not a curated record. NCBI's taxonomy places the organism in Eukaryota, Metazoa, Chordata, Mammalia, Carnivora, Felidae. The transcript has 2 exons.